This is a long non-coding RNA of Gasterosteus aculeatus aculeatus (three-spined stickleback), 1983 nucleotides long. NCBI's taxonomy places the organism in Eukaryota, Metazoa, Chordata, Actinopteri, Perciformes, Gasterosteidae. The record is from Ensembl.
CCGCGCACAUGCACGCAUUUCAGUUGAGAUCUUCAUUUGGCAAAUGGCUUGUGACUAAAAUCCAUAUGACUAAUACGAGUUAUCUGUCCCAGUGACCAACCUCUUCAUUGGGAACCAAUGUAUUACAUUCCAAAGACUCCCAAGUAACGUGUGUGUGUGUGUGUGUGGUUGGAGAAUGUCAACUUUCGUGUGAUGUGAGGAACCAUUAGAUAGUGGCUAGCCCGUGUUAAACAAAUAGCUUUAAUUCUAACUUCACGGCCAAGUCUCGUUGUGUGUGUGUGUGUGUGUGUGUGUGUGUGUGUGAGUACUACAAUGUCCCCCCGAUGUCACUCUGCUGUACAAGACACAUUUCAACAAUCGCGGUCCAUUUCUACACGUGUGCAGUUUGAACACUGCGGACUGACGCUCUCGCGGCGCGCUAACCAGCUAAAGGUGUUUAUCGCAACUUGCAGCGAUGCCGGGCUGCUUGCUGUCAACAAGUGACACGGUCAAUUUGUGCUUUUUACUGUACAGAAGAGUGUGCGUGCGCGCGUCCAUUUAUGCACUAGUUGAAAUCACGGUGCUAUGACGGACCUCAUCAGGGACCUGUUUUUGUGUGAACGUGUGAGGAAGAGAGCGCGCCUUUCUCUCUUAUCGGGCUUAUUAAGGGAAUCUGCUUUUCAAAUGAGAUUUUAGUGGUUCGCUGUGGUCACAUUUUCAAAUGAACUGUUCGCGUCUUUCGUUACAGAGAUGUGAACGGCGUCGCCAUUGAUUGUGCGAGGGGCGUACGCGUAUCAUGAUGAUGAUUUUGCAGCCUGAAAACAUUUCCUCAGAUGAGAACGGUUCAGAUUGUCUUUUUCAUUUCAUCAAGUCGGUGCGAGGUUUUUAAAAAUUUUAUUUUUCAUGGAGGUGCAUGCUUCUGGCUCGUUUUUAUUUAUUUAGGCUUUCCAAAAAAAACACAAAAAAAACCUUUCGUACAGCUGUAUGUUGAGGGGAGGUUCCCUCGCCUUGUCUUUGAUCAGUUGCACAGUAGCACAUCUCCCCCGAGAGCCAAUGAUGUGACGCUGGUCUCCUCUUUUUGAAGAGGUACGGAUGAAUGAGAGAAAGAAAAGAAGGGUCCAUUUUUAAGUUCAGCCACUUUUGCCAUUUCAAAAAGAAAAGCGAAAAAAUACAAGAAAGAAUUGAUUUAAAGAUGGUUGGGUGUCUGUUAAUAUUAACAUAAGUCCACACCUGUCCGGUCCCCCGGAUCCCUUUACGGUUUCAAACACCUCACACGCAUCUCCCUCUGCGUCCCGCGUUUAUACUGACCUCACUUCAAAUUACCCGUCCCUAGUAAUUGUGAAAAGUUUUACCUCGAGCAGGCUGAAUCUGGUUAACGGGACCCCCAAGAAUACAGUCCUACGAGUCCUACUCGUGGUUUAGAAGUCGUAUCUAAGGGUCCAAAGUCGCCGAGAUGUAAACAACUCUUUCCAAAUGACUGCAGACACGAGCCUUCGUGGUUUUGAAUUUUUUUGUAAACAGGAUGGGAGACUUUUCCGGAACUACAUUAUUGUGCUGCCUCUGGACAUGACAUCCUGUUAUCACAUUUCAACUACUAUCUGGCUCCACUUUGCACUACAUUUAGUCGUGGAUGGUUGCUGUGAGGAGUGGUCACAGACAGGGUGCUCAAAUAAUGAUACAAUCUGAUGAGAAUUAAUGAAAAACUGCUGUGCUGAGCAGUUAUUUCAUAGUGGGAGAUGCUGAGUACAGACAAAUCCGUAUGACUCAUCUAAAAGAAUAACUAAAUUAAAACAGGGGUUGUACAUGAUGACUAAAGAUGCCAUUACAUGAUGUAAAUGUCCAUCAUUUCCUUGUUUUCUUUCUUGCAUUUAUUUUCUUUGGUUAUGAAUAUGGUUAAUAAGAUGUAAGAAUACUGUAGUAUCAUAAGUGGAUCAUUCUUCCUUGCUAGGCUUAGAACUUGCUUGUGAUUGAUAAUGGAAAUGUAUAACUUGUAAAAAAAAAAAA